This is a long non-coding RNA of Humulus lupulus (European hop), 1828 nucleotides long. RefSeq lists it as uncharacterized. The transcript is spliced from 2 exons. NCBI's taxonomy places the organism in Eukaryota, Viridiplantae, Streptophyta, Magnoliopsida, Rosales, Cannabaceae. The record is from RefSeq and is a predicted model, not a curated record.
UAGAAAUGGAUAAGAAAUAUGCAUCUAUGCUAGCACUUUCAUUUUUAAUUGUCACCAUAAGUUUAUUUUUAAAUUUUUCGUCGGUAUAGAGCCUAUUAAAAAAAAAUCCCAUGCGCCGCGCCAAAUCUUUACCGAUCUGUACAGCAUUUUCAAUUUUUUUUUCAGGGCUUAAACUCUCAGCCUUCUUCUCCCAUCACUUUCGACUAUUAAUUAACUCUCUGUAACUCUCAACCCUCCUCUCUCAUCACUCUCACCAUCUCAUCUUCUCAGCUCCCUUCGGCAUCAACUCUCACCGUAACCUCUCUAGAAUCGCCUCCUUCUUCUUCAAAUUUCGGCAUCCUUGGCAAUCGCACGGGUUUGGGCAUAACAAAAGGCCAAUCGCAAAGGUGCGCUUGGGUUUAGAUAUUGGAAAAUCUGUUGGUUCGGUUCAUAGAUUUGGAUUAAGAGAUUGAGUUCAGAGACUGGUAAUAUUCUCUCUCAUAAUAGGUGGUUAAGAAAGAAGAGGUUGCUACUUUGAUCAAAGAAUUUCUGCAGAAUUUUACUUGUAUAAUUAGAACUUUAGAAGAGGAUUUUGUUUACAAACUAUCAACAUAUAUGAAUAAAUAUUAAUUAUUAGUUAGUUAUUUAAUAAAUUAUGUUUGUCUUUAAUCUCAAAUAAUCUUUUCAAAGUCUCUAAAAUAGUAUUGCACUCAAAAUUUUCUUCUUCGAAAACAUGUGAAUAAAAACAGUGUAUACUGAUAAUAUAAUAUAUAUAUAUAUAUAUAGAAGGAAAUUAUAUGUGGAAGCACAAAAUUAUAUCUGGGCCACACAUUUUCAGCCCAGGUUGCGAUCCAUCCUACACAUGCACACUUGGGCCAAAUUGUGCUCCAUCCUACACUGGCACACACAAUAGUACAUAAGGUAUAGUUUUAAGAGUAUUUAUUACAACUACUACUUUUUCAAUUUUUUUAUUUUUAUAAUCUCUAAAUUAUUUUUUUCAUUUUCAUAACUAUUGAAACUCAUUCAUGAUAGAGUAGUUUUUAUAUUGUUUUAGGAAAUUUUUGAGCUUAUUUAGAUUUAUUAUAAUUACUACUUUUUUUUUUAUUAUCUCUAAAUUAUUUUUUUCAAUUUCAUAAUUAUUGAAACUCAUUCAUGAUAGAGUAGUUUUUAUAUUGUUUUAGAGAGUUGUUUAAGGAAAUUGUUGAACUUAUUUAGUUAUGUUUGUGCAGUAUGAUGCUUUUCUUGCCUGUGUUUGACAAUAUUUCAGGGUUUAUGGAAAAAUUGAUAAAUGGACCAUGUUUGGCCUCGAAAAGAUGUGAUUUGGUGAAAAAAUAAAGACAUUUGAAUCGCGGUGCUAAGUAUUAAAGGUCACGGCGCUGCGAUUAGACAGAGACACCAAAAUUCUGAGAAGUGGGGGGUCGCGGCACUACCUUUUCUGAGUUGUGGCGCUUGUUGAGGCAGAGACAAGACAGAUUUCAAUUCUUGAACACGGAUUGCGACGCUUCAUUAUGGGGUCACAGCGCCUCAGAUAGUCAAAGUGUGAAUUUGGGCAUUUUAAACACGGGCAAAAGUGGAGUUUCACAUUCAAAACACAAACAACUAUAUAAGUAGCAUUAUGAUGAUUUUUGAAGGAGAAACUCAAGGAUACACUUUGUGGAGGCAAAGGAUUGAAGAACUACUAGUUUUUAUCAUUCUUUUUCUUCUUUUACUUUCUAUUGUAGUGAUGUUUAUACUUAGUUUAAUAGAUUUGAUUAUGUUUAUCAUGAACUAAUUUCUUAUAUUAGAGUGUUAAUGGAUCAUUCUUGAAACCUUAUGAUUAUCUAAUGUAGUUUUAUGAAUUUUCUAUCAA